Camelus dromedarius (Arabian camel) is the source of this 1589-nucleotide long non-coding RNA. RefSeq lists it as uncharacterized. The record is from RefSeq and is a predicted model, not a curated record. The transcript is spliced from 2 exons. NCBI's taxonomy places the organism in Eukaryota, Metazoa, Chordata, Mammalia, Artiodactyla, Camelidae.
AGCUGAGACUAAGGUUAUGUCCCCGCCUCUGUCCUUCGGGAGGAGGUACAGUGUGAAGGACAUUCAAGCACACCCUGGCUAACUUCUCACUCAGUCUGCGAUACAAAGGAGGAAGAUUUCCUGGGCCAGAAAUCCGAGCAACAAUGCCAGAGCGCUUGUCUUCAUGCAAAAGAACGCAUCACUAAGUAUGGAGUUCCAGACGCCCAGGAGCAGCGAGCGAAGCAGAGCUUUGGCCCACGGGCUGGCUUCCUAGCACUCCCCAGCCACGCCCGCGUUUAUGGGUAGGAUUUACUCUAUGUUAUGGGCAUUCACUGAUACUGUGCCCUGAGACUGCUUUGUCAACUGUCCAGCAUGCCACAUCCGUGAUGCAAUAUUUGAAGUCGCGCCCAAACACUAGGCAAAUCCUAUUUCUCUGCAAGAAGUGCUUGUAAAUCGAAAAGUCAUCACCCUCCUCAAGGAAGCAUGCCUUGUGGAAAUGGGAAUUGCAUCAAAGCUGGUUGAUCGGACUUCAAAGGAUGUCCUUGUUCUAAAGAUUCUUUUUCUAUUAUGAACUCUUUUUUUUUUUUUUUGGUCUCUUCAAGGGAAGAUGUGAGAGAAUUCUCUGAAUACUUCAAGCUGCAAGCCCCUAGCUAACUUCAUUACCAUAUUGAUUAUUUCAUCAAGAAAUAUUCGAGGGAGAUUAAUUUCCCUGCAUAACGUCCUCAGUUCUCCUUCAGUUUUCACAUGACAGCAUAACCCUCGUCUCCCCUCCUCCUGCCCCUCUUGUACUUUUUCAAACUGCAGGAAUGAAUUGUAAAAAGGAAGGUCCUCGUUGCCUCCCUCUCUUCCAAGACAUUUUUCCCCCCUAAUGCUUUCCUUCCCCCCUCCGUAAGAAUUAAAAGUGAUAUUUCUUUUGACAGCUGGUAACUAAUCCCACCUUAGCAGGAAAGAGAACAGGAAGCCAGCAAAGGAAUUUUCCAUUCCUAUGUCUCUUUUAAUUUUUUUCCACAUCAGGUACUUUUCAAAACCUAGACAUUUGCAGUGAAGUCUGUAUGUCUUCUUGUUUUGUCUACUAGAGCCACGUGUUCUGAGCUUCUCCUGUGCUGGCCGAGGACAAACCUGACUGAGCUGGUGUUUGUCUUUGGAGGAGGGAGAAUUUGAGAACUUUCGAGUCUCCAAAGGGAACAUAACUGAAAUGUGAUGCCUUUGCUUAUGCAAACGGGAUUUUUCCUGUUGUAAAGAUAAAGUUCACACAGCUAGUCCCUCAAACCGCAAGUCAAAAUGCUUCAUACUGUAAGGAGAACGACAGCUCUGACUCUUAUAAAAUAAGUUUCUGCUCAACCAUCUUUUGCCCGGCAGACAGCUUGGCUUCCUGCCUCCUCCCCUCUCUCCUUUCCUUCAUUUCUUCCUUUCUUUUCUGUUUAAAUGCUUAAAGGGCUCUGUGUAGUUUACGUUUUGAGUCUUCCAGAGUGAACAGGAUAAGAAGUUGGGGGGAAAAGGAAAAAAAAGAAUAAUCAGCUUGAAUGUGUUUCCUCAAGGAGCAAUCCACUUUAGCAUUUUCAUAACAUAAUGCACACUGUUUCAAUAAAUGAUUUUUUUAAACGAUGAAA